AUCGGCUUGGUGAAAUGGAAUCACGUCAGUCUCCAAAACUGAAGUCGGGGGAUCAAUACCUCCAGCCGGUGCCA
Molecule: transfer RNA, 74 nt
Filed under: Candidatus Omnitrophota bacterium
Lineage: Bacteria; Pseudomonadati; Candidatus Omnitrophota
Description: tRNA-Trp
Rfam family: tRNA
About the family: Transfer RNA (tRNA) molecules are approximately 80 nucleotides in length.
Source: RNAcentral